Molecule: ribosomal RNA, 557 nt
Filed under: Klebsiella variicola
Lineage: Bacteria; Pseudomonadati; Pseudomonadota; Gammaproteobacteria; Enterobacterales; Enterobacteriaceae
Also listed under: 1 other name
Description: partial 23S ribosomal RNA
Rfam family: Bacterial large subunit ribosomal RNA
Source: RNAcentral
GUGGGUAGUUUGACUGGGGCGGUCUCCUCCCAAAGAGUAACGGAGGAGCACGAAGGUUAGCUAAUCCUGGUCGGACAUCAGGAGGUUAGUGCAAUGGCAUAAGCUAGCUUGACUGCGAGCGUGACGGCGCGAGCAGGUGCGAAAGCAGGUCAUAGUGAUCCGGUGGUUCUGAAUGGAAGGGCCAUCGCUCAACGGAUAAAAGGUACUCCGGGGAUAACAGGCUGAUACCGCCCAAGAGUUCAUAUCGACGGCGGUGUUUGGCACCUCGAUGUCGGCUCAUCACAUCCUGGGGCUGAAGUAGGUCCCAAGGGUAUGGCUGUUCGCCAUUUAAAGUGGUACGCGAGCUGGGUUUAGAACGUCGUGAGACAGUUCGGUCCCUAUCUGCCGUGGGCGCUGGAGAAUUGAGGGGGGCUGCUCCUAGUACGAGAGGACCGGAGUGGACGCAUCACUGGUGUUCGGGUUGUCAUGCCAAUGGCACUGCCCGGUAGCUAAAUGCGGAAGAGAUAAGUGCUGAAAGCAUCUAAGCACGAAACUUGCCCCGAGAUGAGUUCUCCCUG